This 279-nucleotide ribosomal RNA is filed under the name uncultured bacterium. Its description in RNAcentral is "partial 16S ribosomal RNA". It matches the Rfam family "Bacterial small subunit ribosomal RNA", at positions 506 to 784 of the family's 1533-position model. The record is from RNAcentral.
UGCCAGCAGCCGCGGUAAUACGGAGGGUGCAAGCGUUGUCCGGAUUUAUUGGGUUUAAAGGGUGCGUAGGUGGCUUUUUAAGUCAGUGGUGAAAUUCUACAGCUUAACUGUAGGACUGCCAUUGAAACUGGAAAGCUUGAGUAUUGUUGAGGCAGGCGGAAUUUAUGAUGUAGCGGUGAAAUGCAUAGAUAUCAUAAAGAACACCGAUAGCGAAGGCAGCUUGCUAAGCGAUAACUGACACUAAUGCACGAAAGCAUGGGUAGCGAACAGGAUUAGAUA